RNAcentral lists this ribosomal RNA (404 nucleotides) under uncultured Pseudomonas sp. RNAcentral describes it as "bacterial SSU rRNA". It matches the Rfam family "Bacterial small subunit ribosomal RNA", at positions 1 to 410 of the family's 1533-position model. Lineage: Bacteria; Pseudomonadati; Pseudomonadota; Gammaproteobacteria; Pseudomonadales; Pseudomonadaceae. The record is from RNAcentral.
CGACGAGUUUGAUCCUGGCUCAGAUUGAACGCUGGCGGCAGGCCUAACACAUGCAAGUCGAGCGGUAGAGAGGAGCUUGCUUCUCUUGAGAGCGGCGGACGGGUGAGUAAUGCCUAGGAAUCUGCCUGGUAGUGGGGGAUAACGUUCGGAAACGGACGCUAAUACCGCAUACGUCCUACGGGAGAAAGUGGGGGAUCUUCGGACCUCACGCUAUCAGAUGAGCCUAGGUCGGAUUAGCUAGUUGGUGAGGUAAUGGCUCACCAAGGCGACGAUCCGUAACUGGUCUGAGAGGAUGAUCAGUCACACUGGAACUGAGACACGGUCCAGACUCCUACGGGGAGCAGCAGUGGGGAAUAUUGGACAAUGGGCGCAAGCCCUGAUCCAGCCAUGCCGCGUGUGUGAAA